RNAcentral lists this ribosomal RNA (688 nucleotides) under Debaryomyces hansenii. RNAcentral's name for it is "LSU rRNA". The stretch from base 1 to 585 matches the Rfam family "Eukaryotic large subunit ribosomal RNA", at positions 67 to 664 of the family's 3401-position model. Lineage: Eukaryota; Fungi; Ascomycota; Pichiomycetes; Serinales; Debaryomycetaceae. The record is from RNAcentral.
CACAGGGGGUAUUGCCUAAGAACCGGCGAGUGAAGCGGCAAAAGCUCAAAUUUGAAAUCUGGCACCUUCGGUGUCCGAGUUGUAAUUUGAAGAAGGUAACUUUGGAGUUGGCUCUUGUCUAUGUUCCUUGGAACAGGACGUCACAGAGGGUGAGAAUCCCGUGCGAUGAGAUGCCCAAUUCUAUGUAAAGUGCUUUCGAAGAGUCGAGUUGUUUGGGAAUGCAGCUCUAAGUGGGUGGUAAAUUCCAUCUAAAGCUAAAUAUUGGCGAGAGACCGAUAGCGAACAAGUACAGUGAUGGAAAGAUGAAAAGAACUUUGAAAAGAGAGUGAAAAAGUACGUGAAAUUGUUGAAAGGGAAGGGCUUGAGAUCAGACUUGGUAUUUUGCGAUCCUUUCCUUCUUGGUUGGGUUCCUCGCAGCUUACUGGGCCAGCAUCGGUUUGGAUGGUAGGAUAAUGACUAAGGAAUGUGGCUCUACUUCGGUGGAGUGUUAUAGCCUUGGUUGAUACUGCCUGUCUAGACCGAGGACUGCGUCUUUUGACUAGGAUGUUGGCAUAAUGAUCUUAAGCCACCCCUCUUGAACAACAGACCAAAAAAAAAUUUUUCCCAAGAGGUACAAUCUGCAAAAGAGGAGGGCAUCGAUUCAAAGGACUCUUACCCUCUUUGGGGCUGGUUUCCUUGAGGGAUUAUU